GGGGAUUUAGCUCAGCGGCAUAAGCACCUGCCUUGCAAGCAGGCGGUCCUGGGUUCGAUCCCCGGUACCA
Molecule: transfer RNA, 70 nt
Filed under: Cavia porcellus (domestic guinea pig)
Lineage: Eukaryota; Metazoa; Chordata; Mammalia; Rodentia; Caviidae
Rfam family: tRNA
About the family: Transfer RNA (tRNA) molecules are approximately 80 nucleotides in length. Their secondary structure includes four short double-helical elements and three loops (D, anti-codon, and T loops).
Source: Rfam by way of RNAcentral